UUAGGUCCGGAGCAAAAGAAGAAACAGUCCAAAGACCGGAGAAGAAAUAGUGAAGAAAUGAAGAAACCAACGAAGGAAGACCAGAGCGGAUAAUAGUAAUACAGCGGUAAAGAAAUUAAACACGUCGUACAGGCCAGCCGUACUGGACAGGGAUUCAGUGAGUCACAAUGUAACUUACCUCCUCCAUCCAUUUCUCCAAAGCUUUAUUUAGGCCUUGUUUAGUUCCAAAAAAUUUCAACAUUUUCCGUAACAUCAAAUCUUACGGCAAAUGCAUGAACCAUUAAAUAUAGAUAAAAAUAUAACUAAUUGCAUAGUUACCUGUAAUUUACGAGAGGAAUCUUUUGAGCCUAGUUAGUCCAUGAUUAGACAAUAAUUGUAAAAAAACGAAAGUGCUACAGUAGCCAAACUCAAAAAUUUUCGCGAACUAAACAAGGCCUUAGUUCCCAAAAUUUUUUGUAAAAUUUUAAAAUUUUCAUAUUCUUUGUUACAUCGAAUCUUACGAUACACGCAUAAAGCAUUAAAUAUAGAUAAAAAAUAAUUAAUUGCAUAGUUUGUUUGUAAUUUGCGAGCCACUAAAUCUUUCGAGGCUAGUUAGUCCAUGAUUGGAUAAUAUUUGUCAAAUACAAACGAAAAUGCUACAGUGUCUAUUUUGUAAAAAAAAAUGGAACUAAAUAAGGCCCAAAUCAGAUCCAACCCUUCACAUGAGACUUGUUGUUUUUUCGGAUAUAGAUAGCAUAUAGCAGCAUAAUUCAUAGCUUCAAAAAAGAAAAAAAACAAUAAUUCAGGUCCAUAAUUCAGAUGGACAUGUAGAUAGCAGCUUAUCAAAGCACAAUCAAACACAAGUCCAAUCAUAGACUAACUAGGCUUAAAAGAUUCAGUGGCUCGCAAAUUAUAGACAACUGUAUAAUUAAUUAUUUUUUAUUUAUAUUUAAUGUUUUAUGUAUGUACCGUAAGAUUCGAUGUAAUGGAGAAUAUAAAAAAUUUAAAAUUCUACAAAAAAUUUCGAAACUAAACAAAGUCUUGAAGAAAUAGAUAGAGGAGGUAAGUUACGUCGUGACUUGCUCAAGGCAAGUCACCCAAUCCCUGUCCAGCCGUACUAUUGUGCGUAUUGUUCGUAACAGAGGACAAAACAGUUCGGCGGUUCAACCAGUAGCAGAUCAAAGCAUAGACUAUAGCCAAUUCACUUACUAUCCAUACAAUCAAACCGGAAAAACUCUAAAUUAUUUCAAAAUAUUUCAUAUUUUUCAUAUAAACUCUAAAUUAGAAAAAUAAAAUAUCCAUUUUGAUUAUUUUGACUAGGAUUUUGCAAUGGUACACUCUAUUUCGAUAUUUGAUAUUUGUUCACAAUGGUGAAUUUUUUAAUUAAUAUCCAAGUCCUGUUUGCA
RNAcentral lists this long non-coding RNA (1385 nucleotides) under Sorghum bicolor (sorghum). RNAcentral describes it as "long non-coding RNA (SBIC_LNC003531)". The record is from RNAcentral. Lineage: Eukaryota; Viridiplantae; Streptophyta; Magnoliopsida; Poales; Poaceae.